RNAcentral lists this transfer RNA (84 nucleotides) under Paracoccaceae bacterium. Its description in RNAcentral is "Rhodobacteraceae bacterium tRNA-OTHER". It matches the Rfam family "tRNA". Rfam says of the family: Transfer RNA (tRNA) molecules are approximately 80 nucleotides in length. Their secondary structure includes four short double-helical elements and three loops (D, anti-codon, and T loops). The record is from RNAcentral. Lineage: Bacteria; Pseudomonadati; Pseudomonadota; Alphaproteobacteria; Rhodobacterales; Paracoccaceae.
GCGGUCGUGGCGGAAUCGGUAGACGCGCUAGGUUGAGUAGUGGUGGUUAACACCGUGGAGGUUCAAGUCCUCUCGACCGCACCA